UUGUUGAGCAGAACUCUACUGGUCACAUGAUUAAUAUCAUGAUCUUAAAUUUUAAUAUAUCUCAGAAUUUGUGGGGGAAUCUCUUUUAUCAGUUUGAUAAAUUUUGAUAUUAUAAUUGCUCUCGUGAUUUUAUUUUUUUUAUCCUAGUAUUCAUCUUGGAAACGAAUUUGGUAAAUUUUAAGAUUGGUAGGAAAAUUAUUUUGAGACAUAAAUUUAUUAGAUGGUUAUUUUCAUGAUAUUACUUAUUUGAGUUUUAUUAGAUAUGAACAGAAUUUUCCAGAUUAUUUGAUGAACGGCCUGAAUAGGACUAAGAUCUUGAAAUCAUCGAGAGGGAUGAGACUUUGCCGGUAAAGGGCCUUCCUGCAGUGGGAACCCAAACUUUGUGAUAGGAGAUCCUUUGAAGAAGGUUCAAUGUGAUAAAAAUAAACUGUCAGGUUGGCCAAAAAGCACUUUCUAUAAAUUUUAUAAAGGAGCUUUAGCUCCAAUCCCAUCCCUAUGGUGAGUAGUGCUCUGUGUAGUGGAUUAGGUCGAGUUGAUAGCUCUUAAUGGGAUCCGAGGUGGUAAUUUCCGCGAGAUGUGACUCUACACACAUCUCUUGAGGAAACCACCUAUACAAGAGUAUCCUUAUGUGGCCGCGGCUAUAUGAUAUGGGCUAUCCAUAAAAACUCUUAUGAAAAAUUAAGGUACUGUGCAUGGUCAUUAAUGCACAGACCCGCAACGAAAAAUUCUCUACUGUGUGUGUGGUAGUUGAAGUCAGGGACAAAGGAACGUAAUUCAAGACCUGGUUCACUCCGAUUCCUUCUGAUGGAAAUUGCUUACACUAAGUGAGGUUAAGUCCUUAAAGACAUCUUACCUAUCGCAUAGUAUAAACACCCGGUGAUUUAUUUAUUUAUUUAUUCAUUUUUUUUUAAUUUAAUUCUUAUUUUGAAAAUUUUAAAUUUUUGUGGGAAAUUGUUGGUGAAAAAUUCAAAAUUUCCCAAUAAUUAUUUUACUUUUUAAUUCAUUAAUUUAUUAUUAUUAUUAUUAUUAUUUAAUUUUAUUAUUAAUUAACUUAAGUUUUUAUUAUUGCGGACGUUUCGGCUUGCGCCUCGCCUGCACUGUUACGCGCACUCCCGCUCCGCUCG
This 1124-nucleotide long non-coding RNA is filed under the name Ananas comosus (pineapple). Its description in RNAcentral is "long non-coding RNA (ACOM_LNC005191)". The record is from RNAcentral. Lineage: Eukaryota; Viridiplantae; Streptophyta; Magnoliopsida; Poales; Bromeliaceae.